Carassius gibelio (silver crucian carp) is the source of this 2329-nucleotide long non-coding RNA. RefSeq lists it as uncharacterized. The record is from RefSeq and is a predicted model, not a curated record. The transcript is spliced from 5 exons. NCBI's taxonomy places the organism in Eukaryota, Metazoa, Chordata, Actinopteri, Cypriniformes, Cyprinidae.
UUGUUUGUUGACCUUGGGUGUCAGGCGUGAAGAAUGUGUAACUGGUGGUCUUGCUAUCUUGUAAUAAUUUAAGUGUUAUGAGAAAUCUAGUUUUACUGAUGGCCAAUUCAGUUCAUAUAACAGUCACUGAAGAGAUCCCCCAGCAAUAUUCAUCAAUCUGGAGCUCUUACGCAGCAGUAAAUGUAGCAAGAGCUGUGCCAAGUGUGCAACUCCACAGCAAAAUAAAAUGACAGCUUACUAAAUGAAGUAAAGCCAAUUAGUUUUAAGUUCAUGUUUCUGUCCUUUGAAAGUAUAUAAUAGCUAAAAGUCAAAGCUAAUAGUGAGAUUACAGGUGCAUCUCAAUGAAUUAGAAUGGAAACGUUAAUUUAUUUCAGUAAUUCAACUCAAAUUGUGACACUUGUGUAUUAAAUUGGUUUUUUUUAAUUUUUUUUAUUGUGAUGAUUUUGGCUGACAUUUGACAAAAACCCACCAAUUCAAUCCCAACAAAUUAGAAUACCUCAUAAGACUGAUAAAAAAUAAAAUAAAUGUUUCUCGCUGACGAUCGGUAACAGUUGAUAAAUGAAACUUUUCCCAAAACCUAUCGCGAGUAGCGCUACAACAUCACCUCCAUUCAAAAUGUAAAACAAACUCUCUGCGAAUAGCAUCCCAUUCACUGUAAAAAAUGACUGAUGCAAAAAGUUGUACAAAUGAGGAAAUACAUGUUGGCUCAACAUAAUGGUUGUGUCAAAAAAGAAAAAUAUGUUUGGUCAAUGAUAGCAUGAUUUCCAUGAAAGUACUACAAAAUGUUCAUCAAGAGAAAAUAAAUAAUUGUGUUGAGAGAACUUUUAACGUUGCACAAAAAAUAUUAUGUUGGCCGAGCAAGAGGGAACAGCGUCAAUCGUCUGAGCAUGCGCAAAGGAGUUCUACCAGGUGCAGGCAGCAGGCUGGAGUUUCCCCCCACCACGAUUCACGACAUUACACUGGUGAGUACUUUGUGCUGCGAGUUAAUGAGCAAAUUUAGGUUAAGAAUAUAUCGAUUGUCUAUCAACAAAGUUUGAAAUAGCUUUAUUGUGAGUACCUACAGUGAUUAGCAGUGCUGGAAAAUAACAUGUUUAACACAUAAAGCUUAGCAUUCCUUUCCAACUGGCAUGUGAUUUAAAGUCGACCCUAACGGUUAAGCAUGACAUGUUCCCGUUUAAUAUUUUUAAUGGUCAAUAUUUUCAAAUUCCAUUUACAUUUUGGCUUAUGAUAUGUAUGAUAAUUGACUGUAACAGACAGCUAGUCUUGACAACUUGUGCUUUUGCUAUACAGAGCGACUGAUAAUUUAGGCUAACGUUAGUUCUAACAGUUAGUUGGCAUUCAAAGCAUGUGUGCCUUCAUGUUAGCAGCUAGUACUUUGCACAAAGCUUCCUUUUGCAAGAACGAAAUAACAUUUCAGUCCGAUAAAAAUAAAUAAAUAAAUAAAAAUUUGUGCUAACACGCAAAUGAAUAGCUGCUAAUGUUAUCAGAUUUGUAAGUUGUUUAACGUUAUCAGUUUGCCAACAUGUUUCCGUUUAAUAUUUUUAAUGGUCAAUAUUUUCAAAUUCCAUUUGCAUUUUGGCUUAUUAUAUAUUUGAUAAUUGACUGUAACAGACAGUUAGUAUUGACAACUUAUGCUUUUGCUAUCACAGAGUGACUGAUAAUUUAGGCUAGGAAAUAAUUUGCUUUGCUUUUAAUUGUUUGCUUCUGAAUCUUUCAUUACGCACAGGUUUGCAUCUACCGUAUUGGGGUAACCGUGAAGUUAGCCAUUCCUGACAGCGCUGGACAAUCACACCCAGGGGUUGCUAAAGAUGUACAGAACCAAAGCAAGACAGGGAAGGUGAAACAACUUGGAUGAACUUCUGGAACAACUGGAUGCCCAGCAGAAGAAAGAAAUUCAUAAAGGUUUGAAACAACAUGAGGGUAACUAUUUCAUGAAGUUGAAAUGAUGCCCAAUGGUGAAAAGAACCACAGAUCUAACUACUUAUAGAAGGUCUUCUGUUCUUCAUGGUCUUCCACUGUACUUGAGAGAGCCAGCUUCAAUUUCAAAGACUAUUAAGGAUACUGAGGCACUGGGGCCACACACAAAGGCCAUGAAAAUGGGGAUCCUGGAAGUGACUGACAGUUCUACCAACUCAGGACCAUAUCCCACAGUGGUCGAUGUGGCUGUAGUACUGGAGGAGGAAGCUGUCAUGGAAAAUCUGGGAGACUUCACAAAUGCCCUCAUGAUGCUUGUUUUGGCACUGGUUGAAUACUUGUGUAAUAUUUUACUUGAGCCUAACAGGCAAGUUCAUAUGUAUUUAAAUAAAUACAUAAAAUCUUCUUUAUCAAA